This is a non-coding RNA of Podarcis lilfordi (Lilford's wall lizard), 72 nucleotides long. The record is from the annotation of a GenBank genome assembly. NCBI's taxonomy places the organism in Eukaryota, Metazoa, Chordata, Lepidosauria, Squamata, Lacertidae.
GCCGUGGCUCACUGGUAGAGCCUCUGCUUUACAUGUAGAAAGUCCCAGGUUCAGUUCCCGCUGGCAUGUCCA